GACGAACGCUGGCGGCGUGCCUAAUACAUGCAAGUAGAACGCUGAAGAGAGGAGCUUGCUCUUCUUGGAUGAGUUGCGAACGGGUGAGUAACGCGUAGGUAACCUGCCUUGUAGCGGGGGAUAACUAUUGGAAACGAUAGCUAAUACCGCAUAACAAUGGAUGACACAUGUCAUUUAUUUGAAAGGGGCAAUUGCUCCACUACAAGAUGGACCUGCGUUGUAUUAGCUAGUAGGUGAGGUAAUGGCUCACCUAGGCGACGAUACAUAGCCGACCUGAGAGGGUGAUCGGCCACACUGGGACUGAGACACGGCCCAGACUCCUACGGGAGGCAGCAGUAGGGAAUCUUCGGCAAUGGGGGCAACCCUGACCGAGCAACGCCGCGUGAGUGAAGAAGGGUUUCGGAUCGUAAAGCUCUGUUGUAAGUCAAGAACGGGUGUGAGAGUGGAAAGUUCACACUAUGACGGUAGCUUACCAGAAAGGGACGGCUAACUACGUG
This 497-nucleotide ribosomal RNA is filed under the name uncultured bacterium. RNAcentral describes it as "partial 16S ribosomal RNA". It matches the Rfam family "Bacterial small subunit ribosomal RNA", at positions 28 to 507 of the family's 1533-position model. The record is from RNAcentral.